GAGUUUGAUCUUGGCUCAGAUUGAACGCUGGCGGCAGGCCUAACACAUGCAAGUCGAGCGGAUGACGGGAGCUUGCUCCUUGAUUCAGCGGCGGACGGGUGAGUAAUGCCUAGGAAUCUGCCUGGUAGUGGGGGACAACGUUUCGAAAGGAACGCUAAUACCGCAUACGUCCUACGGGAGAAAGCAGGGGACCUUCGGGCCUUGCGCUAUCAGAUGAGCCUAGGUCGGAUUAGCUAGUUGGUGGGGUAAUGGCUCACCAAGGCGACGAUCCGUAACUGGUCUGAGAGGAUGAUCAGUCACACUGGAACUGAGACACGGUCCAGACUCCUACGGGAGGCAGCAGUGGGGAAUAUUGGACAAUGGGCGAAAGCCUGAUCCAGCCAUGCCGCGUGUGUGAAGAAGGUCUUCGGAUUGUAAAGCACUUUAAGUUGGAGGAAGGGCAGUAAGUUAAUACCUUGCUGUUUUGACGUUGCCGACAGAAUAAGCACCGGCUAACUCUGUGCCAGCCG
RNAcentral lists this ribosomal RNA (509 nucleotides) under bacterium enrichment culture clone ALO1_GLFRUDD03GJS1J. RNAcentral's name for it is "bacterial SSU rRNA". It matches the Rfam family "Bacterial small subunit ribosomal RNA", at positions 9 to 514 of the family's 1533-position model. The record is from RNAcentral.